GGUGUUACUGCGAAGGGGGGACGGAGAAGGCUAUGUUGGCCGGGCGACGGUUGUCCCGGUUUAAGCGUGUAGGUGUGUGUUCCAGGUAAAUCCGGUUCACUUUAACACUGAGGCGUGACGACGAGGCACUACGGUGCUGAAGCAACAAAUGCCCUGCUUCCAGGAAAAGCCUCUAAGCAUCAGGUAACAUCAAAUCGUACCCCAAACCGACACAGGUGGUCAGGUAGAGAAUACCAAGGCGCUUGAGAGAACUCGGGUGAAGGAACUAGGCAAAAUGGUGCCGUAACUUCGGGAGAAGGCACGCUGACACGUAGGUGAAGUGAUUUACUCAUGGAGCUGAAGUCAGUCGAAGAUACCAGCUGGCUGCAACUGUUUAUUAAAAACACAGCACUGUGCAAACACGAAAGUGGACGUAUACGGUGUGACGCCUGCCCGGUGCCGGAAGGUUAAUUGAUGGGGUCAGCGCAAGCGAAGCUCCUGAUCGAAGCCCCGGUAAACGGCGGCCGUAACUAUAACGGUCCUAAGGUAGCGAAAUUCCUUGUCGGGUAAGUUCCGACCUGCACGAAUGGCGUAAUGAUGGCCAGGCUGUCUCCACCCGAGACUCAGUGAAAUUGAACUCGCUGUGAAGAUGCAGUGUACCCGCGGCAAGACGGAAAGACCCCGUGAACCUUUACUAUAGCUUGACACUGAACAUUGAGCCUUGAUGUGUAGGAUAGGUGGGAGGCUUUGAAGUGUGGACGCCAGUCUGCAUGGAGCCGACCUUGAAAUACCACCCUUUAAUGUUUGAUGUUCUAACGUGGACCCGUUACCCGGGUUGCGGACAGUGUCUGGUGGGUAGUUUGACUGGGGCGGUCUCCUCCUAAAGAGUAACGGAGGAGCACGAAGGUUGGCUAAUCCUGGUCGGACAUCAGGAGGUUAGUGCAAUGGCAUAAGCCAGCUUGACUGCGAGCGUGACGGCGCGAGCAGGUGCGAAAGCAGGUCAUAGUGAUCCGGUGGUUCUGAAUGGAAGGGCCAUCGCUCAACGGAUAAAAGGUACUCCGGGGAUAACAGGCUGAUACCGCCCAAGAGUUCAUAUCGACGGCGGUGUUUGGCACCUCGAUGUCGGCUCAUCACAUCCUGGGGCUGAAGUAGGUCCCAAGGGUAUGGCUGUUCGCCAUUUAAAGUGGUACGCGAGCUGGGUUUAGAACGUCGUGAGACAGUUCGGUCCCUAUCUGCCGUGGGCGCUGGAGAACUGAGGGGGGCUGCUCCUAGUACGAGAGGACCGGAGUGGACGCAUCACUGGUGUUCGGGUUGUCAUGCCAAUGGCACUGCCCGGUAGCUAAAUGCGGAAGAGAUAAGUGCUGAAAGCAUCUAAGCACGAAACUUGCCCCGAGAUGAGUUCUCCCUGAGACUUAGAGUCUCCUGAAGGAACGUUGAAGACGACGACGUUGAUAGGCCGGGUGUGUAAGCGCAGCGAUGCGUUGAGCUAACCGGUACUAAUGAACCGUGAGGCUUAACCUU
RNAcentral lists this ribosomal RNA (1500 nucleotides) under Salmonella enterica subsp. enterica serovar Enteritidis. RNAcentral describes it as "partial 23S ribosomal RNA". It matches the Rfam family "Bacterial large subunit ribosomal RNA", at positions 1447 to 2925 of the family's 2925-position model. Lineage: Bacteria; Pseudomonadati; Pseudomonadota; Gammaproteobacteria; Enterobacterales; Enterobacteriaceae. The record is from RNAcentral.